GAACUUGCCCUUUAGACUGGGAUAACAGAGGGAAACUUCUGAUAAUACUGGAUAAGUUAGUAUAUCGCAUGAUAUGCAAAUGAAAGCUACGGCACUAAAGGAGAGCUUUGCGUCCUAUUAGCUAGUUGGUAAGGUAAGAGCUUACCAAGGCGAUGAUAGGUAGCCGGCCUGAGAGGGUGGACGGCCACAAGGGGACUGAGAUACGGCCCUUACUCCUACGGGAGGCAGCAGCA
RNAcentral lists this ribosomal RNA (233 nucleotides) under uncultured Leptotrichia sp. Its description in RNAcentral is "partial 16S ribosomal RNA". It matches the Rfam family "Bacterial small subunit ribosomal RNA", at positions 122 to 355 of the family's 1533-position model. The record is from RNAcentral. Lineage: Bacteria; Fusobacteriati; Fusobacteriota; Fusobacteriia; Fusobacteriales; Leptotrichiaceae.